CCUGGAAUGGUUUAUGUUUCAAAUAAUUUAUUGCCGUAGGAUGGGACUGCGGCCUAUCAGUUUGUUGGUGAGGUAAUGGCCCACCAAGACUAUUACAGGUACGGGCUCUGAGAGGAGUAGCCCGGAGAUGGGUACUGAGACACGGACCCAGGCCCUAUGGGGCGCAGCAGGCGAGAAAACUUUGCAAUGUGCGAAAGCACGACAAGGUUAAUCCGAGUGGUUUCUGCUAAAGGAACCUUUUGUCAGUCCUAGAAACACUGAUGAAUAAGGGGUGGGCAAGUUCUGGUGUCAGCCGCCGCGGUAAAACCAGCACCUCAAGUGGUCAGGAUGAUUAUUGGGCCUAAAGCAUCCGUAGCCUGCUUUGUAAGUUUUCGGUUAAAUCCAUACGCUCAACGUAUGGGCUGCCGGGAAUACUGCAAAGCUAGGGAGUGGGAGAGGUAGACGGUACUCGGUAGGAAGGGGUAAAAUCCUUUGAUCUAUUGAUGACCACCUGUGGCGAAGGCGGUCUACCAGAACACGUCCGACGGUGAGGGAUGAAAGCUGGGGGAGCAAACCGGAUUAGAUACCC
Molecule: ribosomal RNA, 568 nt
Filed under: uncultured archaeon
Lineage: Archaea
Description: bacterial SSU rRNA
Rfam family: Archaeal small subunit ribosomal RNA
Source: RNAcentral